RNAcentral lists this long non-coding RNA (7604 nucleotides) under Salvia miltiorrhiza (redroot sage). Its description in RNAcentral is "long non-coding RNA (SMIL_LNC007001)". The record is from RNAcentral. Lineage: Eukaryota; Viridiplantae; Streptophyta; Magnoliopsida; Lamiales; Lamiaceae.
AAUGCCUUUAUUAAUAUAAAUUCCAAUGAGAUUGAAUUUACAUAUAAAUAAAAAUGACCAAUCUAAUUGGUGCGCCGGGUGUAACUCUUUCAAUCUCCCACUCGCCCUAGCACCAAUCACCCGCGUAUCUUAGACCCAUCUUCUCAAGAUGUCCUUCGAAUACCUUUUGUGACAACGGUUUAGUAAGUGGAUCUGCUACAUUUUCUGCUGAAGCAACUCGCUCCACAACGACAUCACCUCUACCAAUGAUUUCUCGAAUCAAGUGGUAUCUUCGCAUAAUGUGUUUGGAUCUUUGAUGAGAUCUUGGUUCUUUAGCUUGCGCAAUAGCUCCAUUGUUAUCACAGUAUAUAGGUACUGGAUCAACAACUUAAGGAACGACACCCAACUCUUGAAUGAAAUUCCUUAUCCAAAUAGCUUCUUUCGCAGCAUCUGAUGCAGCAAUAUAUUCAGCUUCUAUGGUGGAAUCAACAACUAUUUCUUGUUUAGAACUUUUCCAACAUAUUGCUCCACCAUUUAAAGUGAAUAUAAACCCUGACAUAGACUUGGAGUCAUCUUUAUCAGACUGAAAACUAGAGUCGGUGAAACCCUCUAGUUUCAGUUCCCCACCUCCAUAGAUAAAAAAAAAUCCUUAGUUCUUCUCAAGUACUUAAGGAUUGAUUUUACGACCUUCCAGUGCUCUUCGCCUGGAUUAGACUGAUAUCUACUCGUGACACUCAGAGCAUGUGCGACAUCAGGUCUUGUACAUAGCAUAACGUACAUAAUGCUCCCUAUUGCAGAAGCAUAAGGCACACGUGUCUAGUUUUUCUCUCCCUUCAGGUGUCUGAGGAGACAUAGCUUUAGUGAGAGAAACACCAUGACUCAUUGGCAAGAAUCCACGUUUGGAUUCUUCCAUGCUAAACCUUUUUAACAUUUUGUCUAUGUACAUGGACUGAGAUAAUCCAAUCAUCCUUCUCGAUCUAUCUCUAUAGCCUUUUGCGACCAGACAAGCUUUAAAGGUAGCCACAUUUCCGUCUACUCCAAGCUUUCGCUUGAAUAUCCAUUUGCAUCCGAUAGGAAUUAUUCCAUUUGGUAGAUCCACCAAGAUCCAUACCUCGUUAGAGUACAUGGAUUCCAUUUCGGAUUGCAUAGCUUCUAGCCACUUAUCCGAGUCAAUAUCUUUAAUUGCCUCAGAAAAGGUCCUUGGAUCAUUAUCCAUAGGUUGUUCUUCCUCAAAGUUUUCCAUCAAUAAGUUCAACCUAUCAGGCGGCCUUGAAACUCUUUUGGACUUUUCACGGGGCUGUGUAUAAGAACAUACACCCUUUUCUGAUUGAGUAUUUUCUGCCACAACAGGAGUACUUUGUGGUUCUUGAGUUUCAUCAAGUUCUACAAUCUUAUUACUUGUGUUACACAGAAAUUCUUCCUCAAGGAAAGUAGCAUUUCUCGAAACAAACACCUUUUGUUCCGAGGGAUCAUAGAAAUAAUAUCCAAUAGACUCUUUUAGAUAUCCCACAAAAUUACAUAAGAUGGAUCGCAUAUCCAACUUAUCUCCCAUUAACUGCUUCACAUAAGCAGUGCACCCCCAUAUCCUAAGAUAUUUGUAAGAAGGUGUUUUGCCAAACCAUAAUUCAUACGGCGUUUUGGGUACAACUUUAGAUGGCACUCUAUUUAAUAGAUGUGUUGCAGUUUCUAAAGCAUAACCCCAAAAUGAAAGAGGUAAUGUAGUGAAGCCCAUCAUAGAUCGCACCAUGUCUAACAAGGUCCGAUUCCGGCGCUCAGAAACUCCAUUGAGUUGAGGAGUGCCAGGUGGCGUCCACUGUGAGAGAAUCCCAUUCUCUUUUAGAUAAUCAAGAAACACACCGCUUAAGUAUUCACCUCCUCGAUCAGAUCGAAGAGUUUUAAUACUAGAGCCAGUUUGUUUCUCCACUUCAUGUCUAAAUUCUUUGAACUUUUCAAAUACUUCAGAUUUGUGCCUUAAGAGGUACACAUAACCAUACCUAGAGUAGUCGUCGGUAAAAGUUACGAAAUAGUGAUAGUUCCCACGAGCACCCACACUUAGUGGUCCACAAACAUCUGUAUGGAUCAAAUCCAAAAUAUGUUGUGAUCGUUCCACUUGUCCCACAAAUGGUGAUUUGGUCAUCUUUCCUUUGAGACAAGAUUCACAAGUUGCCAUCCUUUCCUCGGUUGAAAAACCAAGCAAUUGAGACAAUUGAUUCACCCUUCUCUCAGAAAUAUGACCCAAUCUUGAGUGCCAAAGAUCUAUGGAACUACGAUCAUCUAAUUUUCUUUUACUUUGUUGAACAUGCAAAACAGGGUUUCGAGGCAUAAUAGUAUAAAGACCAUUAACCAAUACACUAGAAUAGAUUAAAGAAGCAUCUUUAAAGAUAGAACAUAUUCCACCCUUUAUUGAAAAUUCAUAACUUUCUCUAUCCAAAACUGGAAUAGAGACGAUGUUCUUAAUCAAACUAGGUACGUAAAAGCAAUUGUUCAAAACAAUCUCAAAACCACUAUCAAGAGCUAAGUGAACAGUUCCUACAACUAAGGCAGCAACUCUUGCUCCAUUGCCCAUGCGUAGAACCGUCUCCCCUUUGCUCAACUUCUUAGUUUCCACCAUCACCUGUAAAUCAUUACAAAGAUGUGAUGAACAACCGGUAUCCAAUACCCACGAAGCAUCGUUAACAGAUAAGUUAACUUCAACAUAGUACAUACCUGAACAUUUCAGGCUUGCAAGAUAUUCUUUGCUAAUUCCUCUUUCCAAUGACCAGGUCUUGUUGCAGAAUGACAACAUCUUUGGAUUGAGAACUUUCCCCUUUCUUUUUCCCAACUCCCACCCUGUGCCUUCAACUUGUUUGGUUUAGAUGAACCUUUCAUCUUCCCCUUCCACUUCCCUUCCCCUUGUUAGUCUUGGCCUUGUGAGCUUUCGACGAGGAGGAGGAACCAACAAGAAGAACCGGCUUGUCCUUUUUCAUAGUGGACUCCGCCGUCACAAGCAUAUUGACAAGUUCAGGAAGACUAGUAGUCAUGCUAUGCAUAGUGAAGUUGACGACAAAAGUGUCAAAUGAUGGUGGCAAAGACUGCAACAUGAGAUCAGUUUGCAGUUCAGCUUCUAUCUCGACUCCAAGAGAUCCCAACCUUUCCAUGAGAGCUAUCAUCUUCAGCCCAUGAGUUUGGACCGAAGAGCCCUCAGUCAUACGACAUUGGAAAAGUUCCUUAGAUAUCGUAUAUCUUUGUUGUCUAACACUUUCUCCGUACAACCUUUGUAAACGGAGAAGGACCUCAUAAGCCGAAGCCACACCUUCAUUUUGCCUUUGAAGUUCAUUUGACAUCGAUGCUAGCAUGUAGCAACGAACCUGCAAAUCGUCAUCCACAUGACUUUGGUACUUCGUAAGCACCGCUUCUUCAGCGUCAUCAGCAGGUUUUUCAGGCAUUGGGGCAUCCAAGACAUAAGCCNAGAAAUAUGUUUGUGGAGUUAGAUGAGUCGGUAAGUGGCAACGUCUCCUUUGGUGAUGAAUCUAAAAUUCCAGUUAAAGGAAAAGGGAAAAUUUUAAUUCGCUUGAAGAAUGGAAAUCAUGAAUUUAUUUCCAACGUUUAUUACGUGCCCAAUAUGAAAAAUAAUAUAUUGAGUUUGGGACAACUCUUAGAGAAAGGUUAUGAUAUUCACAUGAGAGAUUAUAACCUUUCAAUAAGAGAUGGCAAAAAUAAUCUUAUUGCCAAGGUGCCAAUGUCGAAAAAUAGAAUGUUUCUAUUGAAUAUUAGAAAUGAUGUGGCCAAAUGCUUGAAAGCUUGCUAUAAAGAUCCGUCUUGGUUAUGGCACCUACGGUUUGGGCACUUAAAUUUUGGCGGCUUGGAGUUGCUAUCAAAGAAAGAGAUGGUGCGAGGCCUACCAUCCAUCAAACAUCCCGAUCAACUCUGCGAAGGUUGUCUACUCGGGAAGCAGUUCAGAAAGCCAUUCCCAAAGGAGUCAAGCUCAAGAGCUCAAAAGCCACUGGAGUUAAUUCACGCUGAUGUGUGCGGGCCAAUCAAGCCAAGCUCCCUCGGUAAAAAUAAUUAUUUUCUGCUCUUCAUUGAUGAUUUUUCUAGAAAAACGUGGGUAUAUUUCUUGAAGCAGAAGUCGGAAGUAUUUGAUGCAUUCAAGAAAUUCAAAGCUGCCGUCGAGAAGGAGAGCGGACGACAAAUCAAGGCCCUGAGGUCCGAUCGAGGCGGAGAAUUCACGUCAAGGGAGUUUCUAGAAUUUUGCGAAGUAAAUGGAAUUCGGCGGCCCCUGACAGUUCCGAGAUCCCCCCAACAAAAUGGAGUGGCGGAAAGAAAAAAUAGGACAAUUAUGGAGAUGGCGAGGAGCAUGCUAAAGACGAAGAAUCCGUCUAAAGAGUUUUGGGCCGAAGCUGUGGCGUGCGCAGUGUAUCUAUCCAACCGAUCGCCGACAAGGAGCGUGUGGGGAAUGACUCCACAAGAAGCCUGGAGCGGGAGAAAGCCAGGAAUUUCCCACCUAAAGGUAUUUGGGAGCAAAGCCUACGUGCAUGUACCAGAUGAGAGAAGGAAGAAGCUCGAUGAUAAAAGUGAAACAUUCAUCUUUAUCGGGUACGACUCUAACUCCAAAGGCUAUAAGUUAUAUAAUCCAAAUACCAAGAAAACAGUGAUAAGUCGAGAUGUGGAGUUCGACGAAGAAGGAGUGUGGGAUUUUAAUCCCAGUGGUGACUUCACCUUCAUCCCACAAUUCGAUGAUGAAAGGACAGUCGAGCAAGUUGGAGAAGUCCAACAAGAGGUAGUGACUCCGCCAGCUUCACCUAUACAAGUUACUGAAGACUCGCCACCAUCUUUCUUAAAUGAAAGAGCUACACCACGAGCAAGGAAUUUGGAUGAGAUAUAUGAAGACACUGAAAGGUUAGAAGAUCUCACCUUGUUUUGCCUAUCUGCUGAUUAUGAACCUAAAGCAGCAAAUAGUGAAAAUUGGCGAGUUGCAAUGGACGAAGAGAUCAAAGCUAUAAACAAGAAUGAUACGUGUGAGCUCGUGACACUACCGGAAAGGCACAAGGCCAUUGGAGUCAAGUGGGUGCAUAAGGUUAAGAAGAAUUCCAAAGGUGAAGUUGAAAGAUAUAAAGCAAGGCACGUCGUGAAAGGAUUUCGCCAAAUUCAGAAGUUUGCUCGGAAUGAAAAAUCAAGUUUAAGGGGGAGUGUUGGAAUAUAAAAAUAAACUUGAUUUUUUGAGUGAAGAUAUUUUAAAGAAAAAUAUAGAAAAAUUCUAGAAAAAGUAAAGUGAAAGAUAUUUUGUAUUAGAAAAUAUCUAGAAUCAAGAUAUUUUAGCAUGUCAACAUUAUGAGCGGAAAUCUAAAAAUAAUGUUUACUAUAGAUACGCUUGAUAUUUAGUAUUUAAAGAACUAAAACUAUCGAAGAGUGUAAAUUCUCACUUAAUUCAUAUAGUGUACAAUGUAGAAAUGAGUGAAGAAAAAAUUGUUAGCAAUCAGACCAUUAUAAUAACUCCACGUCACACAAUAAUUCUCUACAAUAUUAAUCCAUAUAUACUAUACCAAGCACAAAUUGUGUUCAAAUUAGUAUAACUGAUAUUUGUUGAAUUUUAUAAUUCAAAAAUAUCAAUUUUGUACUUAUAUACGAGUCUCGUGCAUAUGAUUGUUUUUGUGGUUGAUGAUGAGGUCAUCUGAUAAAAUAUGUUGACAUGAAAUUGUUGGGAUCGGGUCGAAAAACGCAGCGGAAAUAAUUUUUUUCGAAAUUAUAAAUGAAAUAACUAUUAUUUCAUUCCAACGGCAUUAACGACUUCACGUUAACAUGAUGAGAGAGCGAGAAUAGAAUCUCAUACCUUUUCGCUCUCCGGUUGAUGUCGGGUAUGGAAGCAAUCGGUUGCUGCAGGGAUCCAAGCGUAUCCCCUCUAUCAAGUCCACACUUAGUGUUCGUGUCGAGGAAGUUUCGCUAGCAAACUAACACUAUUGUGUUGCAGAGAGAAAUCAGAGAGAGACAGCAGAGAGCUGAGCGCGAGAGCAGAGAGAGUAGAAAAUAAAAGCAGAAGACGUUAAUUUAAGGAAACCGUUCCCCAAAUUACUGCAGAUUAAUUCCCUUAAUUAUGGAAAUUAUGGAAAUUAAAAUCCUUCUGCGGUUACGUCUAGUGAACAGACGCUUUUUAUUUUCUUCUUCUCCAAUCCGGAGAAUAUCCGGAUAUCUUAUAUCCGGAUACAUUAUAUAUAUCCAAUAUAUAUAUAAUUCUGAUUUUAUUAGAUUUAAAAUUAAUCUAAUUAACUUUAUCUCUAAUUAAAUUAAUCCUAUUAAUUUAAUAUAGAAUCAGACUUGUUAAUCCGAUUAUAUUCAAUAAAACUAAUUUAAUUGAAUAUCUAAAUUAACUCAUUAAUUUAGAACAAGUCUCAAUUUAAUUAAUCAAUUAAUUAAUUGGAUUUAACUAUUAAAUCAUUCAAUCUGACACGUUACUAAUUGUGUGUGACCCUCUUAGGUUCACACAGCACAGUAAAGGUUGUAACACUUACAACUUAUUAAUUUAUCGAUAAAUUAAUUCACUUGAAAUUAACUAUUUAAUUUCAAGAACCUAUAAACCAUGGGAACAUCUAGCAAGUAGCAUGGCAUCUAGCACUGUGUGAAAUAGCGAGUAAACCUUUUUGAUUAUGAAUCGUCAUACACGUACGUCCUUCUAUCAUCUAAUUUCCCAAUUGGAUAUUGAGUAUGGAAUUAAAUCGAAAAACUCAAAUAAUCCAAUAAUCAUAUUUUCAAUUGAAUUCAAUAACUCUUUAAUGAAUCAUAAUUCAUUAUGCCCUGGCCAAGGUCUUCAAGUUAUGAACAAUGAAAACUAUAGGAAAUUCUCUUGUCUCACAAGUAAUAGAUUCUUUAUUGACCACUCAUUAAUCUCCAUAUAAGUUCAUAUUUCAUCCAACAUAAAAUCUUUAGUGAUUGACUAGCAAUCAGAAAAUAUAUCAAAAUGAAAUAGAACUAAUACAAGAUUACUAUGGUGUCUCAAGUCAAAGGACUAAUCGUAUACUAUCAUAAUAUAGUAAUUCUUAUUUCGAUAAAACAAAUUCCACAUAAGAAUUUCUAUCGGGUCAGUUCGGUGUACUUGUUCUCCAACAAGCACCCACAUAUAUACACUUACGUCAACUACGUUAAUGUUGAUGAAACGCAACAUUCUCAUCUUAUGAGUUGUAUCAUAUGUGCGAGCUAUUCCAACAAUUCAAUAUCCUUUUCUUGAAUAGUUAUUUCACUCGGAACUAUUUUAAGACCAAAGCUUUAAAGACAUAUUUCAUAAUCACCAUCAUAUGCGUGAUCAUAUCUUAUAACUCUUUAUGGUCUAAGGACUUCAUCUAAAUCGCAUAAGUUAUUAAAACAAAUACAUUAGAUAAGUAAAUGCCUUUAUUAAUAUAAAUUCCAAUGAGAUUGAAUUUACAUAUAAAUAAAAAUGACCAAUCUAAUUGGUGCGCCGGGUGUAACUCUUUCAAUCUCCCACUCGCCCUAGCACCAAUCACCCGCGUAUCUUAGACCCAUCUUCUCAAGAUGUCCUUCGAAUACCUUUUGUGACAACGGUUUAGUAAGUGGAUCUGCUACAUUUUCUGCUGAAGCAACUCGCUCCACAACAACAUCACCUCUACCAAUGAUUUCUCGAAUCAAGUGGUAUCUUC